GAUGAACGCUGGCGGCGUGCCUAAUACAUGCAAGUCGAGCGAACGGACGAGAAGCUUGCUUCUCUGAUGUUAGCGGCGGACGGGUGAGUAACACGUGGAUAACCUACCUAUAAGACUGGGAUAACUUCGGGAAGCCGGAGCUAAUACCGGAUAAUAUUUUGAACCGCAUGGUUCAAAAGUGAAAGACGGUCUUGCUGUCACUUAUAGAUGGAUCCGCGCUGCAUUAGCUAGUUGGUAAGGUAACGGCUUACCAAGGCAAUGAUGCAUAGCCGACCUGAGAGGGUGAUCGGCCACACUGGAACUGAGACACGGUCCAGACUCCUACGGGAGGCAGCAGUAGGGAAUCUUCCGCAAUGGGCGAAAGCCUGACGGAGCAACGCCGCGUGAGUGAUGAAGGUCUUCGGAUCGUAAAACUCUGUUAUUAGGGAAGAACAUAUGUGUAAGUAACUGUGCACAUCUUGACGGUACCUAAUCAGAAAGCCACGGCUAACUACGUG
RNAcentral lists this ribosomal RNA (497 nucleotides) under uncultured bacterium. RNAcentral's name for it is "partial 16S ribosomal RNA". It matches the Rfam family "Bacterial small subunit ribosomal RNA", at positions 28 to 507 of the family's 1533-position model. The record is from RNAcentral.